AUUAUUCUUGCUUUAGUACUUCUUAUAGGAACAUGCACUUUUUUACUUUGGCAAGUAUUCUUAGCGUUUUUACGUGGCAACGAAAAAUUAAGCGAAUGUACGUGUGAAAUGGGCUGUUGUUGCAGCAGACAUAUCGACUUUAAAG
Saccostrea echinata is the source of this 145-nucleotide long non-coding RNA. RefSeq lists it as uncharacterized. The record is from RefSeq and is a predicted model, not a curated record. The transcript has 3 exons. Lineage: Eukaryota; Metazoa; Mollusca; Bivalvia; Ostreida; Ostreidae.